AAGGGAGCUUGCUCCCGGAUGUUAGCGGCGGACGGGUGAGUAACACGUGGGUAACCUGCCUGUAAGACUGGGAUAACUCCGGGAAACCGGAGCUAAUACCGGAUAGUUCCUUGAACCGCAUGGUUCAAGGAUGAAAGACGGUUUCGGCUGUCACUUACAGAUGGACCCGCGGCGCAUUAGCUAGUUGGUGGGGUAAUGGCUCACCAAGGCGACGAUGCGUAGCCGACCUGAGAGGGUGAUCGGCCACACUGGGACUGAGACACGGCCCAGACUCCUACGGGAGGCAGCAGUAGGGAAUCUUCCGCAAUGGACGAAAGUCUGACGGAGCAACGCCGCGUGAGUGAUGAAGGUUUUCGGAUCGUAAAGCUCUGUUGUUAGGGAAGAACAAGUGCGAGAGUAACUGCUCGCACCUUGACGGUACCUAACCAGAAAGCCACGGCUAACUACGUGCCAGCAGCCGCGGUAAUACGUAGGUGGCAAGCGUUGUCCGGAAUUAUUGGGCGUAAAGGGCUCGCAGGCGGUUUCUUAAGUCUGAUGUGAAAGCCCCCGGCUCAACCGGGGAGGGUCAUUGGAAACUGGGAAACUUGAGUGCAGAAGAGGAGAGUGGAAUUCCACGUGUAGCGGUGAAAUGCGUAGAGAUGUGGAGGAACACCAGUGGCGAAGGCGACUCUCUGGUCUGUAACUGACGCUGAGGAGCGAAAGCGUGGGGAGCGAACAGGAUUAGAUACCCUGGUAGUCCACGCCGUAAACGAUGAGUGCUAAGUGUUAGGGGGUUUCCGCCCCUUAGUGCUGCAGCUAACGCAUUAAGCACUCCGCCUGG
RNAcentral lists this ribosomal RNA (820 nucleotides) under Bacillus zhangzhouensis. RNAcentral's name for it is "bacterial SSU rRNA". It matches the Rfam family "Bacterial small subunit ribosomal RNA", at positions 72 to 876 of the family's 1533-position model. The record is from RNAcentral. Lineage: Bacteria; Bacillati; Bacillota; Bacilli; Caryophanales; Bacillaceae.